Molecule: long non-coding RNA, 296 nt
Organism: Sitophilus oryzae (rice weevil)
Lineage: Eukaryota; Metazoa; Arthropoda; Insecta; Coleoptera; Curculionidae
Exons: 2
Source: RefSeq, a predicted model, not a curated record
UGAACUACAGCUGUCAAUAUUCAAAAUAUUUCAUUGUCAUUUUUUUCAAAAUUUCUUGUGAACUAAAGUAUGACCAACGACGAUUUAAUUGCAAUUGGAAAAAUUGUUGCAAUAGUAAUUUUGAUUUGUGUUGGAAUUAAUCUGAUAAAGGCACAAUAAUACAAAUUAUUGAUAAAUGAUAGAAGAACUUUUCGAAGAGAUUAUUUGGCUCUGGUAGGAUAUUAAAUGCAUGAAGAAAUAAAAUGAAAUACUACUCUAUUUAUCUAACUAUGAAAUAAAAUAUAUUUAAACUCAAA